UGCGUAGGUGGCGGGGUAAGUCUGGUGUGAAAGCUCCGAGCUCAACUCGGAAAAGCAUUGGAAACUAUCCCGCUGGAGGGUCGGAGGGGAGACUGGAAUUCUCGGUGUAGCAGUGAAAUGCGUAGAUAUCGAGAGGAACACCAGUGGCGAAGGCGAGUCUCUGGACGACUCCUGACACUGAGGCACGAAAGCUAGGGAGCAAACA
RNAcentral lists this ribosomal RNA (205 nucleotides) under uncultured bacterium. Its description in RNAcentral is "partial 16S ribosomal RNA". It matches the Rfam family "Bacterial small subunit ribosomal RNA", at positions 568 to 774 of the family's 1533-position model. The record is from RNAcentral.